This 400-nucleotide unclassified non-coding RNA is filed under the name uncultured Acaulospora. Its description in RNAcentral is "bacterial SSU rRNA". It matches the Rfam family "Eukaryotic small subunit ribosomal RNA", at positions 569 to 967 of the family's 1831-position model. Lineage: Eukaryota; Fungi; Glomeromycota; Glomeromycetes; Diversisporales; Acaulosporaceae. The record is from RNAcentral.
AGCAGCCGCGGUAAUUCCAGCUCCAAUAGCGUAUAUUAAAGUUGUUGCAGUUAAAAGCUCGUAGUUGAAUUUCGGGAUCAAUUUGCUGGUCGGAACCUCUGGUACGUACUGGUAUUAUUGAUUUCUUUCUUUCUGAUAGAUCAUGGAUGUCAUUAAUUUGAUGACUUUGAGGAAUCGGAACUUUUACUUUGAAAAAUUAGAGUGUUUAAAGCAGGCUUAUCAGGCUUGAAUACAUUAGCAUGGAAUAAUGAAAUAGGACGAUUGAUCCUAUUUUUGUUGGUUUCUAGGAUUGACGUAAUGAUUAAUAGGGAUAGUUGGGGGCAUUAGUAUUCAAUUGUCAGAAGUGAAAUUCUUGGAUUUAUUGAAGACUAACUACUGCGAAAGCAUUUGCCAAGGAUGU